CGCAUCUGUGCAUGCAGCAUAUCAAUAAGCGGAGGAAAAGAAACUAACAAGGAUUCCCCUAGUAACGGCGAGUGAAGCGGGAAGAGCUCAAAUUUGAAAUCUUAAAGGGUUUCCCUUUACGAAUUGUAGUUUAAAGAAGUGUUUUCUGUUGAGGUUUUGGUAAAGGUUCUUUGGAAUAGGACAUCAUAGAGGGUGAGAAUCCCGUAUUUGACCUUUACUUUCAACUUUGUGAUACACUUUCAAAGAGUCGGAUUGUUUGGGAAUGCAGUCCAAAAUGGGUGGUAAAUUUCAUCUAAAGCUAAAUAUUGGCGAGAGACCGAUAGCGAACAAGUACCGUGAGGGAAAGAUGAAAAGAACUUUGAAAAGAGAGUUAAACAGUACGUGAAAUUGUCAAAAGGGAAGCGUUUGACACCAGUGUAUGUUUUUCUGAAAAUCAAUUAAAGAACUGUUUAUGCUAAGCUUGUUUAGACUUUAUCAGCUAAUCUGUUUAGUUUUAGGCUUUUCUUUAAUGCACUUUUCAGUUAACAAGUCAACAUCAAUUUCUUUUGCUGUAAAAAAGCUUGAGGAAGGUGGCUUGAGAUUCGUCUUAAGUGUUUAUAGCCUCUUGCCUAUGCAGUCGGAGAGAUUGAGGUCUGCAGCGUAGAUCCUUCGGGGCUAAAUGCAUUUGUGCUAAGUUAUAAGCAUUUUAUAGACAACUUGUUGACUAUGAUUCGUCUUGUAGCUUACUCGCUUAUGUUAUUUUACCUACGCUUAGGAUGUUGACAGCAGUAUAGACUGU
RNAcentral lists this ribosomal RNA (778 nucleotides) under uncultured Neocallimastigales. Its description in RNAcentral is "partial large subunit ribosomal RNA". It matches the Rfam family "Eukaryotic large subunit ribosomal RNA", at positions 26 to 629 of the family's 3401-position model. Lineage: Eukaryota; Fungi; Neocallimastigomycota; Neocallimastigomycetes; Neocallimastigales. The record is from RNAcentral.